CUCUAUACCCCUGUCCCCCCUUUCCUAAUUAACUAACCUAAGGUUUUUGCCCAUGGUUUCCAUUUGGUUUGGUCAAAUCUGACCCUGGUCAAUUGCAUUCAAGUUAUGGGCCUAAUUCAUGGUCUGGAGUACAGGCUUAAUUCAGGAGUUUAAGAAUCAAUCUUAAUGUGGACUAUUCAGUAACAACUACCAUAACUUCAGGACUAUAUGAACAUUCAAGAUGAACAAAACAAUCAAAAACCCAAUUGAGUAUGCAGGAACAAUGGCCAAACUAUAACACUUAGUAAAAGACUUAGAAGUAAAAACCAAGAAAUUAAGACAAAGCAAAUAUCACUAGUUACAAUAUUCAGAAAAGCAAUUUAUCCUAACAUGUGCAAAUGCUGGAGAUCGCCAUUACUAGGAACGAAAUAUGACUGAUAUGAAGCUCCUAAAAGAAGACACCUACUGAAAAUCAUGAUAUUACAAAAAUAAGCAUCUAAUAAAGCCAUUGAGAACCUCAGAGGUGAAAUAAAUAUAGAAUCAAGAGACGAGGAUCAACAAACCAUGUAAAAAUUUCAGAAAUGAAACUACUGAAGAGUCAAAAGGCAAAGAUC
Molecule: long non-coding RNA, 593 nt
Filed under: Nicotiana benthamiana
Lineage: Eukaryota; Viridiplantae; Streptophyta; Magnoliopsida; Solanales; Solanaceae
Description: long non-coding RNA (NBEN_LNC009748)
Source: RNAcentral